AGGGGUAGCCCUUGCAUAGGG
This 21-nucleotide unclassified non-coding RNA is filed under the name Chlamydomonas reinhardtii. Its description in RNAcentral is "small RNA Cre_0581". Lineage: Eukaryota; Viridiplantae; Chlorophyta; Chlorophyceae; Chlamydomonadales; Chlamydomonadaceae. The record is from RNAcentral.